AUUGAACGCUGGCGGCAUGCCUUACACAUGCAAAUCGAACGGUAACGGGCCUUCGGGUGCCGACGAGUGGCGAACGGGUGAGUAAUACAUCGGAACGUGCCCGAUCGUGGGGGAUAACGAGGCGAAAGCUUUGCUAAUACCGCAUACGAUCUACGGAUGACAGCAGGGGACCGCAAGGCCUUGCGCGGACGGAGCGGCCGAUGGCAGAUUAGGUAGUUGGUGGGAUAAAAGCUUACCAAGCCGACGAUCUGUAGCUGGUCUGAGAGGAUGAUCAGCCACACUGGGACUGAGACACGGCCCAGACUCCUACGGGAGGCAGCAGUGGGGAAUUUUGGACAAUGGGCGCAAGCCUGAUCCAGCCAUGCCGCGUGCAGGAUGAAGGCCUUCGGGUUGUAAACUGAUUUUGUACGGAACGAAAAGCCUUCUUUUAAUACAGGAGGGUCAUGACGGUACCGUAAGAAUAAGCACCGGCUAACUACGUG
RNAcentral lists this ribosomal RNA (482 nucleotides) under uncultured bacterium. Its description in RNAcentral is "partial 16S ribosomal RNA". It matches the Rfam family "Bacterial small subunit ribosomal RNA", at positions 30 to 507 of the family's 1533-position model. The record is from RNAcentral.